RNAcentral lists this ribosomal RNA (253 nucleotides) under uncultured bacterium. Its description in RNAcentral is "partial 16S ribosomal RNA". It matches the Rfam family "Bacterial small subunit ribosomal RNA", at positions 524 to 776 of the family's 1533-position model. The record is from RNAcentral.
UACGGAGGGAGCUAGCGUUAUUCGGAAUUACUGGGCGUAAAGCGCACGUAGGCGGCUUUGUAAGUUAGAGGUGAAAGCCUGGAGCUCAACUCCAGAAUUGCCUUUAAGAAUGCAUCGCUUGAAUCCAGGAGAGGUGAGUGGAAUUCCGAGUGUAGAGGUGAAAUUCGUAGAUAUUCGGAAGAACACCAGUGGCGAAGGCGGCUCACUGGACUGGUAUUGACGCUGAGGUGCGAAAGCGUGGGGAGCGAACAGG